RNAcentral lists this ribosomal RNA (253 nucleotides) under uncultured Armatimonadota bacterium. RNAcentral describes it as "uncultured Armatimonadetes bacterium partial 16S ribosomal RNA". It matches the Rfam family "Bacterial small subunit ribosomal RNA", at positions 524 to 776 of the family's 1533-position model. The record is from RNAcentral. Lineage: Bacteria; Bacillati; Armatimonadota.
UACGUAGGCGGCGAGCGUUGUCCGAAUUCACUGGGCGUAAAGCGCGCGUAGGCGGGUUCCUAAGUUGGUGGUGAAAUGCCGAGGCUCAACCUCGGAACUGCCUCCAAAACUGGGAGCCUUGAGGUAUGGAGAGGGAAGUGGAAUUCCUGGUGUAGCGGUGAAAUGCGUAGAUAUCAGGAGGAACACCUGUGGCGAAGGCGGCUUCCUGGCCAUAAUCUGACGCUGAGGUGCGAAAGCUAGGGGAGCGAACGGG